AGUCGAGCGGCAGCGGGAAGUAGCUUGCUACUUUUGCCGGCGAGCGGCGGACGGGUGAGUAAUGCCUGGGGAUCUGCCCAGUCGAGGGGGAUAACAGUUGGAAACGACUGCUAAUACCGCAUACGCCCUACGGGGGAAAGGAGGGGACCUUCGGGCCUUUCGCGAUUGGAUGAACCCAGGUGGGAUUAGCUAGUUGGUGGGGUAAUGGCUCACCAAGGCGACGAUCCCUAGCUGGUCUGAGAGGAUGAUCAGCCACACUGGAACUGAGACACGGUCCAGACUCCUACGGGAGGCAGCAGUGGGGAAUAUUGCACAAUGGGGGAAACCCUGAUGCAGCCAUGCCGCGUGUGUGAAGAAGGCCUUCGGGUUGUAAAGCACUUUCAGCGAGGAGGAAAGGUUGGCGCCUAAUACGUGUCAACUGUGACGUUACUCGCAGAAGAAGCACCGGCUAACUCCGUGCCAGCGGCCGCGGUAAUACGGAGGGUGCAAGCGUUAAUCGGAAUUACUGGGCGUAAAGCGCACGCAGGCGGUUGGAUAAGUUAGAUGUGAGAGCCCCGGGCUCAACCUGGGAAUUGCAUUUAAAACUGUCCAGCUAGAGUCUUGUAGAGGGGGGUAGAAUUCCAGGUGUAGCGGUGAAAUGCGUAGAGAUCUGGAGGAAUACCGGUGGCGAAGGCGGCCCCCUGGACAAAGACUGACGCUCUGUGCGAAAG
Molecule: ribosomal RNA, 710 nt
Filed under: uncultured bacterium
Lineage: Bacteria
Description: bacterial SSU rRNA
Rfam family: Bacterial small subunit ribosomal RNA
Source: RNAcentral